This 800-nucleotide ribosomal RNA is filed under the name uncultured bacterium. RNAcentral describes it as "bacterial SSU rRNA". It matches the Rfam family "Bacterial small subunit ribosomal RNA", at positions 707 to 1501 of the family's 1533-position model. The record is from RNAcentral.
CACCGAUGGCGAAGGCAGGUCUCUGGGCAUUAACUGACGCUGAGGAGCGAAAGCAUGGGGAGCGAACAGGAUUAGAUACCCUGGUAGUCCAUGCCGUAAACGUUGGGCACUAGGUGUGGGGGACAUUCCACGUUUUCCGCGCCGUAGCUAACGCAUUAAGUGCCCCGCCUGGGGAGUACGGCCGCAAGGCUAAAACUCAAAGGAAUUGACGGGGGCCCGCACAAGCGGCGGAGCAUGCGGAUUAAUUCGAUGCAACGCGAAGAACCUUACCAAGGCUUGACAUGAACCGGAAACACCUGGAAACAGGUGCCCCGCUUGCGGUCGGUUUACAGGUGGUGCAUGGUUGUCGUCAGCUCGUGUCGUGAGAUGUUGGGUUAAGUCCCGCAACGAGCGCAACCCUCGUUCUAUGUUGCCAGCACGUGAUGGUGGGGACUCAUAGGAGACUGCCGGGGUCAACUCGGAGGAAGGUGGGGACGACGUCAAAUCAUCAUGCCCCUUAUGUCUUGGGCUUCACGCAUGCUACAAUGGCCGGUACAAAGGGUUGCGAUACUGUGAGGUGGAGCUAAUCCCAAAAAGCCGGUCUCAGUUCGGAUUGGGGUCUGCAACUCGACCCCAUGAAGUCGGAGUCGCUAGUAAUCGCAGAUCAGCAACGCUGCGGUGAAUACGUUCCCGGGCCUUGUACACACCGCCCGUCAAGUCACGAAAGUUGGUAACACCCGAAGCCGGUGGCCUAACCCCUUGUGGGAGGGAGCUGUCGAAGGUGGGACUGGCGAUUGGGACUAAGUCGUAACAAGGUAGCC